GGGGAGGACCGUGCUCUUGUGGCCUGCACAGCUCCAGCAGGACAGGGCUGGGGACAGGAAGUGACCCCCAGGACUGGACAGUCUGCCAUGAAGGGGAGAGCUGAGCCAGGCUGCGGUGGAACGGAACCGCAGGGGCAGAGCGCGGGGCCAACGAGGCAGGGGCUGGAACCCAGGCGCACACGGUAUCCGAAGCACGGAACACACGCAGCAGAGCUGGGCAGCAGCCCUGCCUCCAGCCCUGACCUCAACAUCAGUGAGCACAGCCCCCGCCGGCCCACCGGGCAGACCCCAGCUCAGCUCGCUCGGGGGGACUCGUCCCUGCCACAUUCCGCCAGCCCCUGUCCAAGACGAAGUGGCCUCAGACCCCCCCCCGCCGCCCAGCCAGGACUCCGGGGACAGCCACUGGACAGCAUGGCAGAACCAUCUGGGGGUGUUGGGCCAGAAGCCCAGGACACCGUGGGUGAGGGCGUGAUGGGGUUCCAGAGCUGGGAGCCAGCAGUCCCCCUUGAGGUCAUUUACAACACCUGGCCAUGGCCCAGGGCCCCCACGACCCACGUCCGGGCGUGUCCAGACCACAGACCACAGACCACGACUGUGCACCUGGUAGCAGCCCUGGCCAUACUGGAGUUCUGGAACUCUCCAGAACACGUCACCCAGCCGGGCCCCAGCGUCCCGCGUGCUCCAGCCGCAGCGGCCGUCCACCCUCCUCCAACGCUGCUGCUUCUCGGGGCUGCGCUGUCCUCCCAGGGCUCCCCGGGGCUCCACAGUUCUCAUCACGUAGACAGGGCUCAGAGAUGGAUGUCGAGGAAAGCAAGGGCCGGUCCUGGCCGGCGUCUUCCCGGGCCUGGGCCUUGUGCGGUCUGCGCCUUGAUUUUGCCAUCUGUAGAGUGGGCCGGGUUAAUUCUGGGGCUGCUGGGAGAGCGAGGCGGAGCACGGGCAGCACCCGGGCACCGGGGGGGGGGGGGGGGCAGACGUCGAGCUCAAGGCCUGGCUCUGGCCUCCAAGCUCCGGCAGCCAGCACCAGCUGGGGCCCAGACUUCCUAAAAAAAAAAAAAAAAAUCCAAACUCUCUCUCACAUAUGUAAUCCCAUUUGUGUGUUCAGGGAAACCGAAUCCACACAUUCCUGAUUCCCUUACGGUGUAGCCAUGCUGCGCUGACCCCAGGCCUGCGUGCCAAGCGGGCGCCGAGGGGCCUCUGCUGUGUGACCCUCCCGGAGCUCGAGUACAGCCCAGACACGGGCCAGGCUUGGUGCCCCCCGCCCCCGCCCCGCACGCUGUGCACGGGAGACGCAGGAGGCUUGGGGCCGCUCCCCAGGGAACGCGUUCCCGCGGCGCCUGCUCAUUUGAAAUCAGAGACAGAAAGCGGCGCAGAGACGUCUGCCACCCGCUGGCUCUGUCC
RNAcentral lists this long non-coding RNA (1398 nucleotides) under Oryctolagus cuniculus (rabbit). Its description in RNAcentral is "lncRNA (ENSOCUG00000037114.1)". The record is from RNAcentral. Lineage: Eukaryota; Metazoa; Chordata; Mammalia; Lagomorpha; Leporidae.